GAAAUUACCUGCAAAUGUCGAUUUCAAGAUAAUAUGAUUUCAAAAUAAAGGCAAUUCCAAAUCGAUUAAAAAUGUUGUAUAUACCAUCUCACUAAACAUAAUUAAAUACAACACUACAUCAAAAGACGGCUUUAAUAUCACAUUAACUUCAACACGUUUUGGCGAGUAAAUAACAAACUCAGCUACUUCCGGUACAGCAAUACUAUUGGAUUUGGAAUGGAUUCUUAAUAUCAGGU
Molecule: long non-coding RNA, 236 nt
Filed under: Mytilus galloprovincialis (Mediterranean mussel)
Lineage: Eukaryota; Metazoa; Mollusca; Bivalvia; Mytilida; Mytilidae
Source: RNAcentral